Molecule: non-coding RNA, 73 nt
Organism: Podarcis lilfordi (Lilford's wall lizard)
Lineage: Eukaryota; Metazoa; Chordata; Lepidosauria; Squamata; Lacertidae
Source: the annotation of a GenBank genome assembly
GCUGGGAUAGCUCAGUUGGCAGAGCACAAUACUCUGAAUCUCAGGGUUGUGGGUUCGAGCCCCAUGGUGGGCA